This 681-nucleotide ribosomal RNA is filed under the name uncultured nitrite-oxidizing bacterium. RNAcentral describes it as "bacterial SSU rRNA". It matches the Rfam family "Bacterial small subunit ribosomal RNA", at positions 21 to 696 of the family's 1533-position model. The record is from RNAcentral.
GGCUCAGAACGAACGCUGGCGGCGCGCCUAAUACAUGCAAGUCGAGCGAGAAGGUGUAGCAAUACACUUGUAAAGCGGCGAACGGGUGAGGAAUACAUGGGUAAUCUACCAUCGAGUGGGGAAUAACCAGCCGAAAGGUUGGCUAUUACCGCGUACGCCUCCGGAUCUUCGGGUUCGGAGGGAAAGCCACACUGUGAGUGCGGCGCUCUUUGAUGAGCUCAUGUCCUAUCAGCUUGUUGGUAGGGUAACGGCCUACCAAGGCUUUGACGGGUAGCUGGUCUGAGAGGACGAUCAGCCACACUGGCGCUGCGACACGGGCCAGACUCCUACGGGAGGCAGCAGUAAGGAAUAUUGCGCAAUGGGCGAAAGCCUGACGCAGCGACGCCGCGUGGGGGAUGAAGGUCUUCGGAUUGUAAACCCCUUUCGGGAGGGAAGAUGGAGCGAGCAAUCGUUCGGACGGUACCUCCAGAAGCAGCCACGGCCAACUUCGUGCCAGCAGCCGCGGUAAUACGAAGGUGGCAAGCGUUGUUCGGAUUCACUGGGCGUACAGGGAGCGUAGGCGGUUGGGUAAGCCCUCCGUGAAAUCUCCGGGCCUAACCCGGAAAGUGCAGAGGGGACUGCUCAGCUAGAGGAUGGGAGAGGAGCGCGGAAUUCCCGGUGUAGCGGUGAAAUACGUAGAUA